This 464-nucleotide ribosomal RNA is filed under the name uncultured bacterium. Its description in RNAcentral is "partial 16S ribosomal RNA". It matches the Rfam family "Bacterial small subunit ribosomal RNA", at positions 339 to 795 of the family's 1533-position model. The record is from RNAcentral.
CUACGGGCCGCUCCAGUGGGGAAUAUUGCACAAUGGGCGCAAGCCUGAUGCAGCCAUGCCGCGUGUAUGAAGAAGGCCUUCGGGUUGUAAAGUACUUUCAGCGGGGAGGAAGGGAGUAAAGUUAAUACCUUUGCUCAUUGACGUUACCCGCAGAAGAAGCACCGGCUAACUCCGUGCCAGCAGCCGCGGUAAUACGGAGGGUGCAAGCGUUAAUCGGAAUUACUGGGCGUAAAGCGCACGCAGGCGGUUUGUUAAGUCAGAUGAGAAAUCCCCGGGCUCAACCUGGGAACUGCAUCUGAUACUGGCAAGUUUGAGUCUCGUAGAGGGGGGUAGAAUUCCAGGUGUAGCGGUGAAAUGCGUAGAGAUCUGGAGGAAUACCGGUGGCGAAGGCGGCCCCCUGGACGAAGACUGACGCUCAGGUGCGAAAGCGUGGGGAGCAAACAGGAUUAGAUACCCCAGUAGUC